Molecule: ribosomal RNA, 331 nt
Filed under: Pantoea sp.
Lineage: Bacteria; Pseudomonadati; Pseudomonadota; Gammaproteobacteria; Enterobacterales; Erwiniaceae
Description: bacterial SSU rRNA
Rfam family: Bacterial small subunit ribosomal RNA
Source: RNAcentral
UGAGACAGGUGCUGCAUGGCUGUCGUCAGCUCGUGUUGUGAAAUGUUGGGUUAAGUCCCGCAACGAGCGCAACCCUUAUCCUUUGUUGCCAGCGAUUCGGUCGGGAACUCAAAGGAGACUGCCGGUGAUAAACCGGAGGAAGGUGGGGAUGACGUCAAGUCAUCAUGGCCCUUACGAGUAGGGCUACACACGUGCUACAAUGGCGCAUACAAAGAGAAGCGACCUCGCGAGAGCAAGCGGACCUCACAAAGUGCGUCGUAGUCCGGAUCGGAGUCUGCAACUCGACUCCGUGAAGUCGGAAUCGCUAGUAAUCGUGGAUCAGAAUGCCACG